GAUGAAGAACGUAGCGAAAUGCGAUAAGUAAUGUGAAUUGCAGAAUUCAGUGAAUCAUCGAAUCUUUGAACGCACCUUGCGCUCCUUGGUAUUCCGAGGAGCAUGCCUGUUUGAGUGUCAUGAAAUUAUCAACCUUUUCAGCUUUCUUUGUUGAUCAGGCUUGGAUGUGGGAGUAUGCGGGCUUCUCAGAAGUCGGCUCUCCUGAAAUGCAUUAGCGGGACCUUUGUUGCCUGGCUUUGGUGUGAUAAUUAUCUACGCCAUUGUGGUCAAGCAGCUUAAAAUGAGGGUUCAGCUUCUAACCGUCUCCCCUGAGACAACUUUUUGACAAUUUGACCUCAAAUCAGGUAGGACUACCCGCUGAACUUAAGCAUAUCAAUAAGCGGAGGA
RNAcentral lists this unclassified non-coding RNA (387 nucleotides) under soil metagenome. RNAcentral describes it as "partial contains 5.8S ribosomal RNA, internal transcribed spacer 2, and large subunit ribosomal RNA". The stretch from base 1 to 120 matches the Rfam family "5.8S ribosomal RNA", at positions 35 to 154 of the family's 154-position model. The record is from RNAcentral.